UACGUAGGGGGCAAGCGUUGUCCGGAUUUAUUGGGCGUAAAGGGCGCGCAGGCGGCUAUCCAAGUCAGGCGUGAAAGCCCCGGGCUUAACCUGGGAACUGCGUCUGGGACUGGGUGGCUAGAGUUCGGGAGAGGAGAGUGGAAUUCCCAGUGUAGAGGUGAAAUUCGUAGAUAUUGGGAAGAACACCGGUGGCGAAGGCGGCUCUCUGGACCGAGACUGACGCUGAGGCGCGAAAGCGUGGGGAGCAAACAGG
RNAcentral lists this ribosomal RNA (253 nucleotides) under uncultured bacterium. RNAcentral's name for it is "partial 16S ribosomal RNA". It matches the Rfam family "Bacterial small subunit ribosomal RNA", at positions 524 to 776 of the family's 1533-position model. The record is from RNAcentral.